Molecule: RNase P RNA, 390 nt
Filed under: Nitrospirota bacterium
Lineage: Bacteria; Pseudomonadati; Nitrospirota
Description: Nitrospirae bacterium (sediment metagenome) RNase P RNA component class A
Rfam family: Bacterial RNase P class A
About the family: Ribonuclease P (RNase P) is a ubiquitous endoribonuclease, found in archaea, bacteria and eukarya as well as chloroplasts and mitochondria. Its best characterised activity is the generation of mature 5'-ends of tRNAs by cleaving the 5'-leader elements of precursor-tRNAs. Cellular RNase Ps are ribonucleoproteins.
Source: RNAcentral
AAAGCAGACCAUGCGGCCGCCGCUGUAGAGAUAAACCUUACAGGGGAGGAAAGUCCGAGCUCCAUAGGGCAGGACGGUUGUUAACGACAACCGGGGGUGACCCCAGGGAAAGUGCCACAGAAAAUACACCGCCCAAACAACGACUAUAUAUCCUUGGGUAAGGGUGAAAUAGUGAGGUAAGAGCUCACUGCCCCUUGUGGCGACACAAGGCAGCGGUAAACCCCGUCCGGAGAAAGGUUGAAUAGGUUUCACCCACUGAGCAAGCCCACUCAAUUGCCACAACGCUGGCAAGGUGAAACGGGUAGCAACCGCACAAGGCUGAUAGCAAUAUCCCACGCCUUAGACGAAUGACCGCACAAAACAGAACUCGGCUUACGGUCUGCUUUAAAG